UACGAAGGGGGCUAGCGUUGUUCGGAAUUACUGGGCGUAAAGGGCGCGUAGGCGGCCUACUAAGUCGGACGUGAAAUCCCCGGGCUCAACCCGGGAACUGCGUCCGAUACUGGAAGGCUUGAAUCCGGGAGAGGGAUGCGGAAUUCCAGGUGUAGCGGUGAAAUGCGUAGAUAUCUGGAGGAACACCGGUGGCGAAGGCGGCAUCCUGGACCGGCAUUGACGCUGAGGCGCGAAAGCCAGGGGAGCAAACGGG
Molecule: ribosomal RNA, 253 nt
Filed under: uncultured bacterium
Lineage: Bacteria
Description: partial 16S ribosomal RNA
Rfam family: Bacterial small subunit ribosomal RNA
Source: RNAcentral